CUACCUAGUAGUAUGGAAUAGCCAUUAGAAAUGAUGGGUAAUACUGUAUAAUCCCUGCGGGGGAAAGAUUUAUCGCUAUUAGAUGAGCCUACGUUAGAUUAGCUAGUGGGUAAGGUAAUGGCUUACCAAGGCUAUGAUCUAUAGCUGGUCUGAGAGGACGAUCAGCCACACUGGAACUGAGAUACGGUCCAGACUCCUACGGGGGGCAGCAGUGGGGAAUAUUGGACAAUGGGCGAAAGCCUGAUCCAGCUAUGCCGCGUGAGUGAAGAAGGCCUUCGGGUUGUAAAGCUCUUUCAAUAGGGAAGAUAAUGACGGUACCUAUAA
RNAcentral lists this ribosomal RNA (324 nucleotides) under Ehrlichia ewingii. Its description in RNAcentral is "bacterial SSU rRNA". It matches the Rfam family "Bacterial small subunit ribosomal RNA", at positions 126 to 484 of the family's 1533-position model. The record is from RNAcentral. Lineage: Bacteria; Pseudomonadati; Pseudomonadota; Alphaproteobacteria; Rickettsiales; Anaplasmataceae.